Non-coding RNA from Microcebus murinus (gray mouse lemur), 740 nucleotides. The record is from RefSeq and is a predicted model, not a curated record. Lineage: Eukaryota; Metazoa; Chordata; Mammalia; Primates; Cheirogaleidae.
UUUAACUUACCUAUUACUCCUAAGUCCUGUGAAAUACCCCUUGGAUCCAGAUUGAUUAUACCUGAUUUUCUCCACUGUGUGUAAAAGGUAUAUUGUGAUUGUAGAUUUUUAUAUGUCAUGUCUGUAAGAGUCUCUAAUUUUCUGAUCUCUGCAUCACUGUUCCAAAUCCAAGAUCUCCAGCUCCUUCUGGAAAGGCUCACACUGCUGUGGCCACCCCAGGUGGCCCUGAUGUCCCUAGCGGCCUUGAUCUCAACACCACUUUCCAUGGUCAGCAAGGGGAGCAACCAAACCACAGCCCUCCUGCCUCUCCCAACCUGCUUCACUCAACACCAUCACCCCUGAGCCAGAGCCCAGGAUUUUUCCGUAAAUUGCUGGGAAGGUUCAGAAAGAGGACUCUCCCUCAGGAGGGAAGACGAGCCCCGUCAGCCAAGAUUCCCAGCGGAAGCCCCCCGGGUGAAGUCCCCCUCGCUGGGGGCACGUCCAGUGACACUUCGGCACUUGGGCAGCCGCAGGACCUGCAACCUGCCCCACCUGACUGUCCCCCUGCCUCUCCUGUCCCAUCCCGCCACUCUGUCCCUGUGUCCCCGCCAGUGCGGGCGAGAAGGUCCCUGUUCUCCCGCUUCUGCUGCUGCAUGGCAGCUGAUGGAACUUCACGAAACGCUUGUUAAAGAAUGUGCAACUUUCAGAUGCGUGUGUCAAAGAAAUUAACAAUUUAUAAAGAAAAUAUCAAUUUACCUUUC